UACGGGGGGGGCAAGCGUUGUUCGGAAUUACUGGGCGUAAAGGCUCGUAGGCGGCCAACUAAGUCGGACGUGAAAUCCCUCGGCUUAACCGGGAACUGCGUCCGAUACUGGAUGGCUUGAGUUCGGGAGAGGGAUGCGGAAUUCCAGGUGUAGCGGUGAAAUGCGUAGAUAUCUGAGGAACACCGGUGGCGAAGGCGGCAUCCGUGGACCGGCAUUGACGCUGAGGCGCGAAAGCCAGGGGAGCAAACGGGG
This 252-nucleotide ribosomal RNA is filed under the name uncultured bacterium. RNAcentral's name for it is "partial 16S ribosomal RNA". It matches the Rfam family "Bacterial small subunit ribosomal RNA", at positions 524 to 777 of the family's 1533-position model. The record is from RNAcentral.